UCCGUAGGCGGGCAAUUAAGUCAGAGGUGAAAUCCUACAGCUCAACUGUGGAACUGCCUUUGAUACUGGUUGUCUUGAGUUAUAGUGAAGUAGAUAGAAUAUGUAGUGUAGCGGUGAAAUGCAUAGAUAUUACAUAGAAUGCCGAUUGCGAAGGCAGUCUACUAACUGUAUACUGACGCUAAUGGACGAAAGCGUGGGGAGCGAACAGGAUUAGAUACCCUGGUAGUCC
Molecule: ribosomal RNA, 229 nt
Filed under: uncultured bacterium
Lineage: Bacteria
Description: partial 16S ribosomal RNA
Rfam family: Bacterial small subunit ribosomal RNA
Source: RNAcentral